UACCCAAAAUUGUAGUAUUUAAAAUGAACAAAAAAUUGUGUAACAGUAUGUUGUUUAAGAAAAAUUUUGAUUUAGUCACGGAAACUUCUCAAUCUUCCGGUAUAAUGUCGAGCAUCCGUGGUCUGAGAGAGAAGGAGCGUGAGGUGCUGAAUGAGUGGCUUGUUGAAAAUAAAAUUGUGCUGGAUGCCCGUACACGGCGCGAGUUCUCGGACGUGCUGCCAGUGGCAAAGAUACUGAAGAAUAAGUACGGCCGCCUGGUGCAACUUCAGUACUAUGUUCCCCGCAGCAGCCAAGCGCUGAAGUUGGUCAAUUGGAUUGUAUUCAAUGAAAAGGUUCUCAAGUGCUUAAAUGUCAAUCUGUCGAGGGAAACCAUGGAGGAUCUGGCUAGAGGUAGUGCUUGGGCCCUCGAUUCGCUGCUAUAUUUUGUUGCAACUGGCAAGAAUCCGGGCUUGGGACGCUUCGUAUCCAAACCGCGCUCAUACAGCAUGCCCAGGCGGCAGCUUAUUCGCAGUGACCCGGACUGUGCCUCUCAUCCAUGUCUCUUUAUUAAUAAAAAUUCGUUCAAGAAUGGGUUUUAAGAGAUGAUGACACUAUUUCAAAAAAACCGCCUAAAUACGUAUGGCAGCAAAUAUUUCACCUUCUUAUUUAUACUAGUUGGCCGACGGAACUAAAGACAUGACCGCCGAAGUCGUGUUACUUAUCUCAAAUAGUACACAAAAGUCUAUUGAGUCAUCAAACAAUUGCUUUUCCUAAAUCCAAAGGAAAUUAAAAAUAAUAAAAAAAUAUAGUGUGAUGAAUUUAA
Molecule: long non-coding RNA, 802 nt
Organism: Drosophila guanche
Lineage: Eukaryota; Metazoa; Arthropoda; Insecta; Diptera; Drosophilidae
Exons: 2
Source: RefSeq, a predicted model, not a curated record